This 290-nucleotide unclassified non-coding RNA is filed under the name Exophiala bonariae. RNAcentral's name for it is "sequence contains 5.8S rRNA gene". The stretch from base 1 to 53 matches the Rfam family "5.8S ribosomal RNA", at positions 102 to 154 of the family's 154-position model. Lineage: Eukaryota; Fungi; Ascomycota; Eurotiomycetes; Chaetothyriales; Herpotrichiellaceae. The record is from RNAcentral.
GAACGCACAUUGCGCCCUUUGGUAUUCCGAAGGGCAUGCCUGUUCGAGCGUCAUUAUCACCCCUCAAGCCCUCGGCUUGGUGUUGGACGGCUUGGUGGAGACCCCCUUUGCGGGCUUCUACCCCUCCCAAAGACAAUGACGGCGGCCUCGUUGGACCCCCGGUACACUGAGUUCUUCACGGGACACGUAUCGGACACAUGGGUUCACGGGACACGGUCUGCCUCCCCUCAGGGAGAAUCUUUUUUUAUCAAGGUUGACCUCGGAUCAGGUAGGGAUACCCGCGGAACUUA